Non-coding RNA from Camelina sativa (false flax), 742 nucleotides. The record is from RefSeq and is a predicted model, not a curated record. Lineage: Eukaryota; Viridiplantae; Streptophyta; Magnoliopsida; Brassicales; Brassicaceae.
UUAACCUACUUAUCCUCCUCCAUCAACCUAAAAACGAGACCCAUAAUACAUUGGGGCCUUAAUUAAGUUUAUGGCCCAAUGGCCUUCUUACUUGUCUACUUAUUACAAAACACAGAGUUUAACUUAUUUCUCUGUCUCGACUCUUCUUCUUCUUCUCUUCUUUUUCUACGACUCCAUCGCCUUCUCUUCUUCACCAGCUUCUACAUCUUCUGAAUCUCUCUGUUCCUAAUCACCUCAGCCUCUUCUUCCUUCACUGUCUCUUGUUCCUUAUUGAGCAAAGGAUCAACUUCCAACACUCCCUCUUGAUCCUUUUGCUCAAUCCCCAAAAUCUGACCUAAGAAGUUGAUUCCCUUUGUUUCUGAAACUUCUUUGAUUUGGUUCUUAAUACUUGGUCCUAUGCCUCUCAGAAUAUCAGCAUAGCUCAAUGUAUUGCAAGUCACCGAUCCUUUCUGCAACAUCUACAAGACUCACGAGUAGCUUUCAGCUGAGGCAUAUGUCGGACCUCUAUCUCCCUCAUCCGCUUCAUGUUUUUCCUUGUGAGAAAAAAGAGUUUUGACAUCGCUGCAGAUAGUCUCCCUCACCUCAGUCUCCAUACUUGGUGAGAUGUUCUUCCUCUGGUUAGUAUCUUCUUUAGACAAUGGCUUGAGACUCUCAGCUAAGUUUUCGUCUGUUGAUUUUUCUUCAUCUUUCAGCAUUGUGUUAUGGUCCUCUGCUUUCAGGCUUAUCCCCUUGGUUCUUUCAA